This 253-nucleotide ribosomal RNA is filed under the name uncultured bacterium. Its description in RNAcentral is "partial 16S ribosomal RNA". It matches the Rfam family "Bacterial small subunit ribosomal RNA", at positions 524 to 776 of the family's 1533-position model. The record is from RNAcentral.
UACGGAGGGUGCAAGCGUUAUCCGGAUUCACUGGGUUUAAAGGGUGCGUAGGCGGGUUGGUAAGUCAGUGGUGAAAUCUUCAAGCUUAACUUGGAAACUGCCGUUGAUACUAUCAAUCUUGAAUACUGUGGAGGUCAGCGGAAUAUGUCAUGUAGCGGUGAAAUGCUUAGAUAUGACAUAGAACACCAAUUGCGAAGGCAGCUGGCUACACAAAUAUUGACACUGAGGCACGAAAGCGUGGGGAUCAAACAGG